Molecule: unclassified non-coding RNA, 172 nt
Filed under: soil metagenome
Description: partial internal transcribed spacer 1
Source: RNAcentral
CAAGAAGCCGAAAGGCUACUUAAAACCAUCGCGAACUUAUCCAAGUUGCGUCGGCGGCGCGGCUCCCCUCACGGGGGACCGCAGCCCCCGCCUCUCAGGAGGUAAGGGGCAGCCGCCGGAGGUACGAAACUCUGUAUUAUAGUGGUAUCUCUGAGUAUAAAACAAAUAAGUU